UACGUAGGGUGCGAGCGUUAAUCGGAAUUACUGGGCGUAAAGCGUGCGCAGGCGGUUUUGUAAGCCAGAUGUGAAAUCCCCGGGCUUAACCUGGGAAUGGCAUUUGGGACUGCAAGGCUGGAGUGCGGCAGAGGAGACUGGAAUUCCUGGUGUAGCAGUGAAAUGCGUAGAUAUCAGGAAGAACACCCGUGGCUAAGGCGGCUCUCUAGUACGGUACUGACGCUGAGACGCGAAAGCGUGGGGGAGCGAACAGG
This 254-nucleotide ribosomal RNA is filed under the name uncultured bacterium. Its description in RNAcentral is "partial 16S ribosomal RNA". It matches the Rfam family "Bacterial small subunit ribosomal RNA", at positions 524 to 776 of the family's 1533-position model. The record is from RNAcentral.